RNAcentral lists this long non-coding RNA (190 nucleotides) under Coturnix japonica (Japanese quail). RNAcentral describes it as "lncRNA (ENSCJPG00005000808.1)". Lineage: Eukaryota; Metazoa; Chordata; Aves; Galliformes; Phasianidae. The record is from RNAcentral.
AUAAAAGAAACAAAUGAAUCGAUGCUAAUAUGAUGGGUUUCUGUUUAUUGUUGUAGGGUGAGCACGGUGAGAGUGGAUUUGAUGGCACUGAUGGAGAGCAGGGAGAACGUGGAUCUCCUGGAUUUCCUGGAGAGAAAGGCAGCCCUGGAAAACGGGUAAAGUAUCCUUUAUAAGAAUGAGAUUUUAUGAA